GACGAACGCUGGCGGCGUGCCUAAUACAUGCAAGUCGAGCGAAGUUUUUCUGGUGCUUGCACCGGAAAAACUUAGCGGCGAACGGGUGAGUAACACGUAAAGAACCUGCCUCAUAGACUGGGACAACUAUUGGAAACGAUAGCUAAUACCGGAUAAUAGCAUUAACUGCAUGGUUGAUGUUUAAAAGUUGGUUUUGCUAACACUAUGAGAUGGCUUUGCGGUGCAUUAGCUAGUUGGUGGGGUAAAGGCCUACCAAGGCGACGAUGCAUAGCCGACCUGAGAGGGUGAUCGGCCACACUGGGACUGAGACACGGCCCAGACUCCUAUGGGAGGCAGCAGUAGGGAAUCUUCCGCAAUGGGCGAAAGCCUGACGGAGCAACGCCGCGUGAGUGAAGAAGGAUUUCGGUUCGUAAAGCUCUGUUGUUAGGGAAGAAUGAUUGUGUAGUAACGAUACACAGUAGAGACGGUACCUAACCAGAAAGCCACGGCUAACUACGUG
This 499-nucleotide ribosomal RNA is filed under the name uncultured bacterium. RNAcentral describes it as "partial 16S ribosomal RNA". It matches the Rfam family "Bacterial small subunit ribosomal RNA", at positions 28 to 507 of the family's 1533-position model. The record is from RNAcentral.